GGGUGGACUCGGCGGUGGUCGGGGUCACGACGCUCGCCGCGUCGGUGCCGUCGUUCGUCGCGGCGAUCGCCCU
Molecule: transfer RNA, 73 nt
Filed under: Streptomyces sp. YIM 121038
Lineage: Bacteria; Bacillati; Actinomycetota; Actinomycetes; Kitasatosporales; Streptomycetaceae
Description: tRNA-Ala
Source: RNAcentral